RNAcentral lists this long non-coding RNA (4994 nucleotides) under Chinchilla lanigera (long-tailed chinchilla). RNAcentral describes it as "lncRNA (ENSCLAG00000026828.1)". The record is from RNAcentral. Lineage: Eukaryota; Metazoa; Chordata; Mammalia; Rodentia; Chinchillidae.
CCUGCUCACACAGAGACAAAGCAAACAGAAAGGCGGCAGAAAGUGCGGCGUGUUUAAAUUUUAUUCCAAGUAAAAUUUUCCUUAAAUAAAAAAAAAGCCUACUGAAAGCAUUUUUCUCAUAAACCCACAGGUGCUCAUAAAUAAUACAAGAAGGAGUGCCCUGGUCACCCAUCCCGAAAGAGCAGAUGCACCGGUGGAGACAGCUUAUUCCUCUGCCCCGCUGCCCCCCCGCCCCCGUGCCAUGAUGAGGACGUCAUCCGUGUCUUUUCUACACCCCGGCAUGAGGACCAGCGUCAUGAGCAGACCGUGAUGGUCUGUUCAUGCUGGGCACAAGAGGCACCGCAGCUUCCCUUAUACACUAACAGCGUGAAGUGGUGAUAGGAAUAAUUCAUUUUCUAGAUCCGUACACACACAUGGACUGGUGAAAUAAUGACAGCACUGAACCUAAACACUGUGGAACAUUAUAUAGUCAUUUAAAAUGACAAAGCAGAAAUAACUUUUUUUUAUAUUGGCGCAUGCCUGUAAUCCCAGCACUCACAGGCAUCACUGCAAGUUCAAGGCCAGCCUGGGCUACACAGUGAGGCCCCGUCUCAAAACAACGACAACAACAAUAAAUAAAUAAAUAAGGAAAAUUUCUCUCUGUCUCCCUUUCUCUCUCUCACACACACACAUACAUACACACACACGUAAUUUUAAAAUCUGUUUACAGGUCUGACAAACACAAGCUAGCUAAGAAGUAUUAAUGCCACAUCUCACUGGAUAUUUAAGAUACAGGAAAAGAACGGGAAAACAUUUUCUCUUUUCCCUGUGAAUUUACUUUUGCUUCAAAGCUGUGCAGACCGUGUCAGGGCUGCAGUCUCUGGUCUCCCACGGGUGGCGACCACAGGAAUGUUUAUCAUGUGGCCAUUGGGGGGCCACCCCUGCCCUGGCUGGUGGCAGCUCUAGAGGUGACCUCGGUAUCCACAAGCCACUGGAUGAUCACGCAGAUCAAAGUGAAGACAGCUGAGACAGCCGCUGGUCUUAGAACUCAGGCACUCGGUGUGGAGGCUGCGUCAUCAUCGGUGUCUUCUAUCCAGUCCCACGCACAUCUGGAGCUCCGGGCCCAGCGUCAUCUGCCAGCAGCCAUGGGAGUCUCGCUGCCAAGCACGAUGUUCCAAUGGAUUCUGUCCCUAAAGAGGCUCCGGCUUGCACGGAGAGGACCCAGGCGGGGGCCUGGCCAGGUGGGGGCCGGCGAUGUGCAGCAGCUGUGGUCCCCAAGCACAUGGGACAGAGCCCCCUCCGUCCCACGGAUGCUCUCCGUGUGGUUUCACUUACCCGUGGUUAAUUGCAGUCUGAAACUAUUAAAUGGAAAACUCUAAACGAUUCACGAAUUUGACAUAGCUUUUAUUACAGUAUACAAAAACAGUAUAGGGUACCGUAGAAUCCCUUGGAGGCUGAGGCAAGAGGGUGGCAAGGGUGAGGUGUCAUACUGAGGUUUCAGGCACCCAGUGGGGAUCUUGGGCUGGAUCCCCACAGAGAACAGGGGCGGCUCUGUGUGCAAAUGUAUGUUCACGUCACUGCCUCUGCCUGGGAUGCCCCCAUGAAGUUAAUCAGCAGCACCUGGAAUUUGGACCCUAACAGAACUGGACUUGCUGUACCUUUUAGACACUUUACAACCGCAGGCAUUUGACUUGACUCUGAUCUGAGCCCCCUCAUCUACCAAGAGGGCAGCAAGGCCAACCUCAAGGGUCGGGUGAGGGUGAGGAGGGGGCUGAGAGGCGGGUCUUGUUUCUGACAUGAUGGCCACUGGCCUGAGGGCCACCUCCUCAGGAAGCCCACCUGGCACCACCCCCCUGCUGCAUGAGCCCCGAGCUCCUGCGCCCAGGGUGGCUCCUGUCCAGCUCAGCACUGUCUCACGAUGCUCUGUCCCUGUCCCCUGUCCCUACCCGAGACGCUGACGGAAUCCUCACUGUGGAAGGUGUGCCCAGUGCCUGUCCCUCACUCCCGCCUGUGAUCCUCCAUCCAGGCCCGUCUGCCCUUCUGGGAGGCCCCUGCCAGCUCCCGGGCACUUUGAAUUGAGCCGGGGUCCUGCAGGGCUGAGUGGGGCAGGUGGAGUACCCGUGUCACUGGGUCUUGGUCGUCGCUGACAUGAGGAAGCAGGCCACGGUCCCCCGGCUCCCAGGAGGGACAGGGCGUGUUUGACAAAGUUUCCUGGUUUGUGGCAAAGUGGGUGGGUGGGGAAGCCAUGGUGGAGAGUACUUUAGAAAGCUCCAUCCCCACUUGAUUUAAAGCCAGGGACAGUAGCACAGGCCUGUAAACCCAGCACUCUGGGAAGCUGAGGCAGGAGGAUCACAAGUUCAAGCCCAGCCUGGUCAAUUUAGUAGUUUAGCAAGUCUAUAAUCCCAGCAGUCUGGUGGCUGAGGCAGUAGGAUCACCACAUGUCCGAGGCCAACCUGGGCUACUAAGUGAGCUCAAGUCCUGCCUGGACUAUGGAUCGAGACCCUGUCUCAAAAAGACAAUAAAUAAAAAAAAAAUAAACAAAUAAAAUUAAAAAGGGCUGGGGAUGUAGCUCAGCGCGAAGGACUCAGGUUCAGUCCCCAGUACUGUGACAAAAAGGAAGAAAGAAAAAAAGAAUGAACUGUCCCUCUUCUCCCGGAGACGCGUCCAUCCCCCUUCUCCUGCUGUUGAACAUGCUUGCUGGCGGAAGUUGCGUGGACGAGGCAGCCGUCAGAGCUGACAGGGACUUGCUCCUUUGGAUGUGCCAGGGCCGAGACCGUGGCAGCCCUGUGUGCGCCAGUCUGGAAACCUGUUGUUUUCCAGUCCUAAUUGGCACAAAAACCGGAGGCCCCCGUAGCGCCUGCCCUGCCCAGGUGAGCCCGCUGGCUGGCACACCCUAGGUAUGAGGUGAAGGCGUCAGGCCCUGCUCUCUCCCCCGAUGUUUAUUUUCAAAUCAAUGCCUCCGUGUGUGUUGAGACUUGCAGGGUGGAAUACAAACCUCAGGUUGAGUGCUGAUCCGACCUUUAGGAGGCCAAGGGGCAGGGCGUGGGUGGUGGAGCCUCUGGGAGUCGUGCCCACCGGGCUGGCACCCACGUGGCCCCACCCGGGAAGGAGGGGUGUGCUCUGUGCCUGGGGUCUGGGGAUGAGGAGGAUCUGGCGGAGCGAGGCGGGAAGGAAGGUUAAUUCUGCGGCGGGGGAUGAGGAGGCGUUGGUGUUUCUCUGGAAGCGGACAGCAGCGCGAGCCGAGCUGGUGGUGGGAGCAGACGGGCGCGUGGCACUCGAGGUGGAACAGUUAGUGGGUCGGGCAUCUUAGCAAGCAUGAGUGCUGAGUCUGAUUUUUAAAACAAAACCAAGAAACGAGCUAGUGAUCAAAGUAGGAGUCAAAGGCUGAGCUGGCUCUUUCCAACCAUGGUCCCCAUUUUCCCACCCAGGGACUCCAAUUCUGCCCUCUCUUCACCAAGCAAGAGGGGCGCGAGGGGCUCCUGGAGUUGCCCAGACAUUUUCUCUGCUUUCUCCUGUUCCCUGCCUCCUGGGGUUGGGUGCUUCGGCCACCGGCGUCCCCUUCACCUGGGCUGUGUAGCUGCUGCCCCUGUGCCCCAGGGCACCGCUCUGCCCGGCUGGCCUGGGCUUGGCCUCCCUGGCUCCAGGGCCCCAGGCAAACUCUGCCUCCCACUUUGUUCCUUCUCCCUGGAGCUUGCCUGCCCAGUCUGACGGGGACGCUGCCUUCCCCCCAUUUGUGGCUGCACCUGGUCAGCUCACAGGAAGAUCGCAGACCAGGCCUGCUGCCCCCUGGGAUCAAGCGUGGGCUUUGAACCUCGGCAGGCCAGGGCUGGGGCUGCAAACGUCCAUGCCAGGCACAGGAGGCCUCACGUUGUGGGCGCAGGAACUGGGCCUUCAUCUGAUGAAUGUGGGGAGCCCCGAGGGCCACUGAGCAGACAGUGACUGGCACCGACACAGGGGACUUUUCUGUCCACAGGCCUAGCUGGCCCAGAGCCCAGAGGAAGGAGCAGGGGACAGCGUCCUGAGAUGUGAUCUCCGGGGACCGCACAGCACUGCUACCAAAUGGCCAAAGGUGAUGGUGACCUUGCCCUGGUGAAGGACAUGGUUUGAGGAAAAUGACGGUGUCCUGUGCGGCCCAUGAAAUCCGGCUGUUCCAAGGCAUUCUGUGACAAAGCACCUGUGGGAAGUUGGAAUGACAGCUCUGUAACAGGUGUGCUGCUGGCGGGGCAACUGAACCAGGGACGGGGAGCAGAAUUUAAAUUCUGAGCUCUUUAGCAUCUCCCCCAAAUUAUCAGAUUCAGAAAACUGCAGGCAAAACAAGAGAGGGACACAACUACGGAAAAACGCCGACUUGCUCAGCACGUGGAAUCUCUUGCAGAAUCCAAACCUGAGUGCAUCUGAUUGUGUGUAUUACUCCCAGUGCCCCACACUGAGGUGGAGCGAAGUCAGGGAGUGUCAUCUCCCCCCUUGGGCCAUCAGCCACCUGCCUGGCAGCCCCUGUGUGUCCCUGGUGGCUGGGCAAGCUGGGGGACAUGAUGUCCUGGGCUUGCGACCUCCCCUGCAGGAUUCCAGGGACCUAGAACAUUUGCACUGAGCUACAUCUCCAGCCCCUGCCCUUUUUAUUUUGAGAGUAGGUCUUGCAAAGUCACUAACUUGCUCAGGAUGGACUUGAAUUUGUGAUCCUCCUGCCUCAGCCUCACAGAGAGCCGGGAUCACGCGUGUGGGCCACUAUACCUUGCUUUGAACUUCACUGUUACAUCAGGGUGAGGCCUUACGGGCCGCCAGCUGAUGACGGGAUAACACAGCAUCCCACCAGAUUCUUUGUACCUGGACCUCUGUCUAGUCACCACCCCUGCCACAGUCAAAGCCCAGUGUCCCCAGAUUGGCAAAAAACACAAGGCUCAGACACUUUGCUUUCCUCCUUCCCCAGCGGGUGGCCGGGCAGGACCUGUCCUUAUGCUGUGUCUUCACACCUCCCCUGGCAUAGGGAGGAGCUGUUGACCUAGAGGGGGGCUGGG